This 322-nucleotide ribosomal RNA is filed under the name uncultured Chloroflexota bacterium. RNAcentral's name for it is "bacterial SSU rRNA". It matches the Rfam family "Bacterial small subunit ribosomal RNA", at positions 28 to 351 of the family's 1533-position model. The record is from RNAcentral. Lineage: Bacteria; Bacillati; Chloroflexota.
GAUAAACGUUUGCGGCGUGCCUGAUGCAUGCAAGUCGAACGCCCUGAUUUUUCGCAAGAUUGAUCAGGGAGUGGCGAACGGCUGAGUAACGCGUAAGUAACCUAUCCCGAAGUGGGGGAUAACUUGCCGAAAGGCAGGCUAAUACCGCAUGUGCUGGUAAGCGUCAGUUUAUCAGCAAAGCUUUUGCGCUUUGGGAGGGGCUUGCGUCUGAUUAGCUAGUUGGUAAGGUAACGGCCUACCAAGGCGAUGAUCAGUAGCUGGUCUGAGAGGACAACCAGCCAGACGGGGACUGAGAUACGGCCCUGACUCCUACGGGAGGCAG